UGUGUAGGUGGCGCCGUAAGUCGGGUGUGAAAUUUCGGAGCUUAACUCCGAAACUGCAUUCGAUACUGCGGUGCUUGAGGACUGGAGAGGAGACUGGAAUUCAUGGUGUAGCAGUGAAAUGCGUAGAGAUCAUGAGGAAGACCAGUGGCGAAGGCGGGUCUCUGGACAGUUCCUGACACUGAGACACGAAGGCCAGGGGAGGCAAACG
Molecule: ribosomal RNA, 208 nt
Filed under: uncultured bacterium
Lineage: Bacteria
Description: partial 16S ribosomal RNA
Rfam family: Bacterial small subunit ribosomal RNA
Source: RNAcentral